GUGGGGAAUAUUGCACAAUGGGGGAAACCCUGAUGCAGCGACGCCGCGUGAGCGAAGAAGUAUUUCGGUAUGUAAAGCUCUAUCAGCAGGGAAGAAGAAUGACGGUACCUGACUAAGAAGCACCGGCUAAAUACGUGCCAGCAGCCGCGGUAAUACGUAUGGUGCAAGCGUUAUCCGGAUUUACUGGGUGUAAAGGGAGCGCAGGCGGUGCGGCAAGUCGGAUGUGAAAGCCCGGGGCUCAACCCCGGUACUGCAUUGGAAACUGUCGUACUAGAGUGUCGGAGGGGUAAGUGGAAUUCCUAGUGUAGCGGUGAAAUGCGUAGAUAUUAGGAGGAACACCAGUGGCGAAGGCGGCUUGCUGGGCUUUAACUGACGCUGAGGCUCGAAAGUGUGGGGAGCAAACAGGAUUAGAAACCCCAGUAGUCC
Molecule: ribosomal RNA, 426 nt
Filed under: uncultured bacterium
Lineage: Bacteria
Description: partial 16S ribosomal RNA
Rfam family: Bacterial small subunit ribosomal RNA
Source: RNAcentral